AUUGAACGCUGGCGGCAUGCCUUACACAUGCAAGUCGAACGGCAGCACGGGAGCAAUCCUGGUGGCGAGUGGCGAACGGGUGAGUAAUAUAUCGGAACGUGCCCAGUCGUGGGGGAUAACGCAGCGAAAGCUGUGCUGAUACCGCAUACGAUCUACGGAUGAAAGCGGGGGAUCGCAAGACCUCGCGCGAUUGGAGCGGCCGAUAUCAGAUUAGCUAGUUGGUGGGGUAAAGGCCCACCAAGGCGACGAUCUGUAGCUGGUCUGAGAGGACGACCAGCCACACUGGAACUGAGACACGGUCCAGACUCCUACGGGAGGCAGCAGUGGGGAAUUUUGGACAAUGGGCGCAAGCCUGAGCCAGCAAUGCCGCGUGCAGGAUGAAGGCCUUCGGGUUGUAAACUGCUUUUGUACGGAACGAAACGGUCCUUUCUAAUACAAGGGGCUAAUGACGGUACCGUAAGAAUAAGCACCGGCUAACUACGUGCCAGCCGCCGCGGUAA
This 500-nucleotide ribosomal RNA is filed under the name uncultured bacterium. RNAcentral describes it as "partial 16S ribosomal RNA". It matches the Rfam family "Bacterial small subunit ribosomal RNA", at positions 30 to 523 of the family's 1533-position model. The record is from RNAcentral.